CGUUUUUAAAGUUUAACAUAAUAUCAGAGUAAUAUUUUUAUUAAAUUCUCACUCCUUCAUGGAGUAAUAUCGGUAUUUCAAUACUUUAUUGUAUCAACAAACAAUAUAUAUGGCGUUAGAAUAUAAAUUACUAUCAGAUAAUGUUAUUAGCUACUUGACAAUACAGUCGGCACCUCACCCACGGAAUUAGGAUGGAGCAUCCUGUAGGAUAAUAUCUGUUAUGUGAUGUUACAGAUGCCGCGUCAGAUUAGUCGUAAUAAAUAAAACUAGCUUUAUAUCUAGAUUAAAUGGACAGUUAUGUAUUCUGUAUAUUCCGAGCGUGUAUUAAAAUUUUGAAUGUUGAAUAUAAAAUGAAUGAUAACAAAUGAAAUAAACAUUUAUAUUUCACAACAUGUAGGUAUAUACAGUAAAUGUAUUAUUCUGAAUAGUAAGAUUUUAUUAUUAGUGAAAAUACAAGAUAUAUUUUUGG
Danaus plexippus (monarch butterfly) is the source of this 469-nucleotide long non-coding RNA. RefSeq lists it as uncharacterized. The transcript is spliced from 2 exons. NCBI's taxonomy places the organism in Eukaryota, Metazoa, Arthropoda, Insecta, Lepidoptera, Nymphalidae. The record is from RefSeq and is a predicted model, not a curated record.